RNAcentral lists this transfer RNA (67 nucleotides) under Marmota monax (woodchuck). RNAcentral describes it as "tRNA.Gly". Lineage: Eukaryota; Metazoa; Chordata; Mammalia; Rodentia; Sciuridae. The record is from RNAcentral.
GGUUAUGGCUCAGCGGUAGAGCGCUUGCCUCCCAUAUGCAAGGCCCUAGGUUCGAUCCUCAGCACCA